CGUGCCUAAUACAUGCAAGUCGAGCGGACCGACGGGAGCUUGCUCCCUUAGGUCAGCGGCGGACGGGUGAGUAACACGUGGGUAACCUGCCUGUAAGACUGGGAUAACUCYCGGGAAACCGGGGCUAAUACCGGAUGCUUGAUUGAACCGCAUGGUUCAAUCAUAAAAGGUGGCUUUCAGCUACCACUUACAGAUGGACCCGCGGCGCAUUAGCUAGUUGGUGAGGUAACGGCUCACCAAGGCGACGAUGCGUAGCCGACCUGAGAGGGUGAUCGGCCACACUGGGACUGAGACACGGCCCAGACUCCUACGGGAGGCAGCAGUAGGGAAUCUUCCGCAAUGGACGAAAGUCUGACGGAGCAACGCCGCGUGAGUGAUGAAGGUUUUCGGAUCGUAAAACUCUGUUGUUAGGGAAGAACAAGUACCGUUCGAAUAGGGCGGCACCUUGACGGUACCUAACCGGAAAGCCACGGCUAACUACGUGCCAGCAGCCGCGGUAAUACGUAGGUGGCAAGCGUUGUCCGGAAUUAUUGGGCGUAAAGCGCGCGCAGGCGGUUUCUUAAGUCUGAUGUGAAAGCCCCCGGCUCAACCGGGGAGGGUCAUUGGAAACUGGGGAACUUGAGUGCAGAGGAGGAGAGUGGAAUUCCACGUGUAGCGGUGAAAUGCGUAGAGAUGUGGAGGAACACCAGUGGCGAAGGCGACUC
Molecule: ribosomal RNA, 704 nt
Filed under: uncultured Bacillus sp.
Lineage: Bacteria; Bacillati; Bacillota; Bacilli; Caryophanales; Bacillaceae
Description: bacterial SSU rRNA
Rfam family: Bacterial small subunit ribosomal RNA
Source: RNAcentral